Long non-coding RNA from Sphaeramia orbicularis (orbiculate cardinalfish), 164 nucleotides. RefSeq lists it as uncharacterized. The record is from RefSeq and is a predicted model, not a curated record. NCBI's taxonomy places the organism in Eukaryota, Metazoa, Chordata, Actinopteri, Kurtiformes, Apogonidae. The transcript has 3 exons.
UUUGUACAGUAAAACAAAGAAAAAAAAUUGGAGUUGUCAUUAUUUAUUAUUUAUUAUGAUAGUAUUUUACUGGUCUGGCUCACUUGAGAUCGAAUCGGUCUGUAUGUGACACCUGAACUCAAAUGUUCUGACAUACCUGAUACUUAAUAUUUUCAGUGUAAUUU